UCUUGUUUAUUCCCUGGUCGAUCUUUUUCCUCCCCUUGCGGGGAAGUUCCCUUGCCUUAUAUAGGGCAUAACAGCCAAUCACAGGGUGUUCACAUGAACAGGGAGUAUACAGCCAAUCACAGAGGUGUUCACAUGAACAGGAGGUAUCUGGGGCUCAUAGGCAGUGGUGGCAUACGGUGCUCAUGUGACGAGCACGAGGUUACAUGUGGCCAGGGCAGAUGUUUUUUAGGCUGUCCGUACUGCUCCGGCGCCAUCUUAGGGGCGCGACUGGCGCCAUCUUGGGGGCGUGACCCCGACAGGCAAGAAGAUGUUUAGGUAUAAGACCUCUUAGAUGGUGGCAUGGAUUUGAUAUGGCAUAAAUAUAGAAGAUACCUCGAGCCAUAGGGACAUAUAAUUUGACCUUAUAAUUCUACUGCUAUGGAUACAUGUCCUAAUAAAUCAUCCAAAAUGAAAU
Molecule: long non-coding RNA, 454 nt
Organism: Mustela erminea (ermine)
Lineage: Eukaryota; Metazoa; Chordata; Mammalia; Carnivora; Mustelidae
Exons: 2
Source: RefSeq, a predicted model, not a curated record